CUACUACUCCCUCCGUUCGGAAUUACUCUUUGCAAAAAUGGGUGUAUCCAGACAUAUUUUAGUUCUAGAUACAUCCAUUUUUGAGACAAGUAAUUCCGAACGGAGGGAGUAGUAU
Triticum aestivum (bread wheat) is the source of this 115-nucleotide non-coding RNA. Lineage: Eukaryota; Viridiplantae; Streptophyta; Magnoliopsida; Poales; Poaceae. The record is from Rfam.